UCCGUGUUAACCACGGCAGUCUCCUUAGAGAGCCCAACUAAAUGCUGGCAACUAAGGACAAGGGUUGCGCUCGUUGCGGGACUUAACCCAACAUGUCACCACACGAGCUGACGACAGCCAUGCAGCACCUGUCUCUCGGUCGUAUUGCUACGAAGACUGUAUCUCUACAGCUGUCCGAGGAUGUCAAACCCAGGUAAGGUUCUUCGCGUUGCUUCGAAUUAAACCACAUGAUCCACCGCUUGUGCGGGCCCCCGUCAAUUCCUUUGAGUUUUAGUCUUGCGACCGUACUUCCCAGGCGGGGUACUUAGUGCGUUAGCGCCGCUUCAGCGGGGGUCAAGACCCACCAAAGCUAGUACCCAUCGUUUACGGCGUGGACUAC
RNAcentral lists this unclassified non-coding RNA (379 nucleotides) under uncultured Oligoflexales bacterium. RNAcentral's name for it is "contains 16S-23S intergenic spacer region". Lineage: Bacteria; Pseudomonadati; Bdellovibrionota; Oligoflexia; Oligoflexales. The record is from RNAcentral.